This 266-nucleotide ribosomal RNA is filed under the name uncultured Alphaproteobacteria bacterium. Its description in RNAcentral is "partial 16S ribosomal RNA". It matches the Rfam family "Bacterial small subunit ribosomal RNA", at positions 36 to 329 of the family's 1533-position model. Lineage: Bacteria; Pseudomonadati; Pseudomonadota; Alphaproteobacteria. The record is from RNAcentral.
CCUGGCGGCACGCUUAACACAUGCAGUCGAACGGGAUCUUCGGAUCUAGUGGCAGACGGGUGAGUAACGCGUGGGAACCUGCCCAGUAGUAGAGAAUAACUUGAGGAAACUUAAGCUAAUACUUUAUACACCCUUCGGGGAAAAGCUUUAUGCGCUAUUGGAUGGGCCCGCGUUAGAUUAGUUUGUUGGUGAGGUAAUGGCUCACCAAGACUACGAUCUAUAGCUGGUCUGAGAGGAUGAUCAGCCACACUGGGACUGAGACACGG